GACGAACGCUGGCGGCGCGCCUAACACAUGCAAGUCGAACGAGAGAUGAGGAGCUUGCUCUUCAAAUCGAGUGGCGAACGGGUGAGUAACGCGUGAGGAACCUGCCUCAAAGAGGGGGACAACAGUUGGAAACGACUGCUAAUACCGCAUAAGCCCACGGCUCGGCAUCGAGCAGGGGGAAAAGGAGCAAUCCGCUUUGAGAUGGCCUCGCGUCCGAUUAGCUAGUUGGUGAGGUAACGGCCCACCAAGGCGACGAUCGGUAGCCGGACUGAGAGGUUGAACGGCCACAUUGGGACUGAGACACGGCCCAGACUCCUACGGGAGGCAGCAGUGGGGAAUAUUGCACAAUGGGGGAAACCCUGAUGCAGCGACGCCGCGUGGAGGAAGAAGGUCUUCGGAUUGUAAACUCCUGUUGU
This 416-nucleotide ribosomal RNA is filed under the name uncultured bacterium. RNAcentral's name for it is "bacterial SSU rRNA". It matches the Rfam family "Bacterial small subunit ribosomal RNA", at positions 28 to 439 of the family's 1533-position model. The record is from RNAcentral.